UACGUAGGGUGCGAGCGUUGUCCGGAAUUAUUGGGCGUAAAGAGCUCGUAGGCGGUUCGUCGCGUCGGCUGUGAAAACCUGGGGCUCAACCCCGGGCCUGCAGCCGAUACGGGCGAACUAGAAUUCGGUAGGGGAGACUGGAAUUCCUGGUGUAGCGGUGAAAUGCGCAGAUAUCAGGAGGAACACCGGUGGCGAAGGCGGGUCUCUGGGCCGAUAUUGACGCUGAGGAGCGAAAGCGUGGGGAGCAAACAGG
This 253-nucleotide ribosomal RNA is filed under the name uncultured bacterium. RNAcentral describes it as "partial 16S ribosomal RNA". It matches the Rfam family "Bacterial small subunit ribosomal RNA", at positions 524 to 776 of the family's 1533-position model. The record is from RNAcentral.